Molecule: non-coding RNA, 78 nt
Organism: Podarcis lilfordi (Lilford's wall lizard)
Lineage: Eukaryota; Metazoa; Chordata; Lepidosauria; Squamata; Lacertidae
Source: the annotation of a GenBank genome assembly
UGAGGGGGAUAGCUCAGCUGGCAGAGCAUGCGACCCUUAAUCUCAAGGUCGUAGGUUUGAGCCCCACAUUGGGAAAAA